This 253-nucleotide ribosomal RNA is filed under the name uncultured bacterium. RNAcentral's name for it is "partial 16S ribosomal RNA". It matches the Rfam family "Bacterial small subunit ribosomal RNA", at positions 524 to 776 of the family's 1533-position model. The record is from RNAcentral.
UACGUAGGGUCCGAGCGUUGUCCGGAAUUAUUGGGCGUAAAGGGCUCGUAGGCGGUCCGUCACGUCGGGCGUGAAAACUCAGGGCUCAACCCUGAGCGUGCUUCCGAUACGGGCGGACUAGAGGUAUGCAGGGGAGAACGGAAUUCCUGGUGUAGCGGUGGAAUGCGCAGAUAUCAGGAGGAACACCGGUGGCGAAGGCGGUUCUCUGGGCAUUACCUGACGCUGAGGAGCGAAAGCAUGGGGAGCGAACAGG